Molecule: ribosomal RNA, 497 nt
Filed under: uncultured bacterium
Lineage: Bacteria
Description: partial 16S ribosomal RNA
Rfam family: Bacterial small subunit ribosomal RNA
Source: RNAcentral
GAUGAACGCUGGCGGCGUGCCUAAUACAUGCAAGUCGAGCGAACAGACGAGGAGCUUGCUCCUCUGACGUUAGCGGCGGACGGGUGAGUAACACGUGGAUAACCUACCUAUAAGACUGGGAUAACUUCGGGAAACCGGAGCUAAUACCGGAUAAUAUAUUGAACCGCAUGGUUCAAUAGUGAAAGACGGUUUUGCUGUCACUUAUAGAUGGGUCCGCGCCGCAUUAGCUAGUUGGUAAGGUAACGGCUUACCAAGGCAACGAUGCGUAGCCGACCUGAGAGGGUGAUCGGCCACACUGGAACUGAGACACGGUCCAGACUCCUACGGGAGGCAGCAGUAGGGAAUCUUCCGCAAUGGGCGAAAGCCUGACGGAGCAACGCCGCGUGAGUGAUGAAGGUCUUCGGAUCGUAAAACCCUGUUAUUAGGGAAGAACAAAUGUGUAAGUAACUAUGCACGUCUUGACGGUACCUAAUCAGAAAGCCACGGCUAACUACGUG